This 253-nucleotide ribosomal RNA is filed under the name uncultured bacterium. RNAcentral's name for it is "partial 16S ribosomal RNA". It matches the Rfam family "Bacterial small subunit ribosomal RNA", at positions 524 to 776 of the family's 1533-position model. The record is from RNAcentral.
UACAGAGGUCUCAAGCGUUGUUCGGAUUCAUUGGGCGUAAAGGGUGCGUAGGCGGCGGGGUAAGUCGGAUGUGAAAUCUCAGGGCUGAACCCUGAAACUGCAUUCGAUACUGCCUUGCUCGAGGACUCGAGAGGAGAUUGGAAUUCACGGUGUAGCAGUGAAAUGCGUAGAUAUCGGAAGGAACAUCAGUGGCGAAGGCGACUUCCUGGACCAAUACUGACGCUCAGGUGCGAAAGCGUGGGGAGCAAACAGG